This 408-nucleotide ribosomal RNA is filed under the name uncultured bacterium. RNAcentral describes it as "bacterial SSU rRNA". It matches the Rfam family "Bacterial small subunit ribosomal RNA", at positions 355 to 775 of the family's 1533-position model. The record is from RNAcentral.
UGGGGAAUAUUGCACAAUGGGCGAAAGCCUGAUGCAGCGACGCCGCGUGGAGGAUGACGGCCUUCGGGUUGUAAACUCCUUUUGACAGGGACGAAGCGCAAGUGACGGUACCUGUAGAAGAAGCACCGGCCAACUACGUGCCAGCAGCCGCGGUAAUACGUAGGGUGCGAGCGUUGUCCGGAAUUACUGGGCGUAAAGAGCUUGUAGGCGGUCUGUCACGUCUUCUGUGAAAACUUGGGGCUCAACCUUAAGCUUGCAGGGGAUACGGGCAGACUAGAGUACUUCAGGGGAGACUGGAAUUCCUGGUGUAGCGGUGAAAUGCGCAGAUAUCAGGAGGAACACCGGUGGCGAAGGCGGGUCUCUGGGAAGUAACUGACGCUGAGAAGCGAAAGCAUGGGUAGCAAACAG